This 395-nucleotide unclassified non-coding RNA is filed under the name soil metagenome. RNAcentral describes it as "partial contains 5.8S ribosomal RNA, internal transcribed spacer 2, and large subunit ribosomal RNA". The stretch from base 1 to 120 matches the Rfam family "5.8S ribosomal RNA", at positions 35 to 154 of the family's 154-position model. The record is from RNAcentral.
GAUGAAGAACGUAGCGAAAUGCGAUAAGUAACGUGAAUUGCAGAAUUCAGUGAAUCAUCGAAUCUUUGAACGCACCUUGCGCCUUUUGGUAUUCCGAAAGGCACACCUGUUUGAGCGUCAUGAAUACCUCAAUCUCCAUCUUUUCUUCGGAUUGAUGGGUGACUUGGAUGUUGAGCCCUGCUGGUAUGCUAUAUCAGCUGGCUUUAAACUUAUUAGCCGGCUCUGUACUGGAUCGGUUUGACUCGACGUGAUAAUAUUAUCGUUGAGGAUGCAUGUCUCAUGCAGCCGGAAAGUAUCAAAGCAGCUUCUAGCUUGCCUUUAGUGCACUUUUACAUUUUAGACCUCAGAUCAGGUGGGACUACCCGCUGAACUUAAGCAUAUCAAUAAGCGGAGGA